RNAcentral lists this ribosomal RNA (433 nucleotides) under uncultured bacterium. Its description in RNAcentral is "partial 16S ribosomal RNA". It matches the Rfam family "Bacterial small subunit ribosomal RNA", at positions 29 to 507 of the family's 1533-position model. The record is from RNAcentral.
AGCGAACGCUGGCGGCAGGCCUAACACAUGCAAGUCGAACGAACCUUUCGGGGUUAGUGGCGGACGGGUGAGUACACGUGGGAACGUGCCUUUAGGUUCGGAAUAACUCAGGGAAACUUGUGCUAAUACCGAAUGUGCCCUUCGGGGGAAAGAUUAAUCGCCUUUAGAGCGGCCCGCGUCUGAUUAGCUAGUUGGUUGAGGUAAUGGCUCACUAAGGCGACGAUCAGUAGCUGGUCUGAGAGGAUGAUCAGCCACAUUGGGACUGAGACACGGCCCAAACUCCUACGGGAGGCAGCAGUGGGGAAUCUUGCGCAAUGGGCGAAAGCCUGACGCAGCCAUGCCGCGUGAAUGAUGAAGGUCUUAGGAUUGUAAAAUUCUUUCACCGGGGACGAUAAUGACGGUACCCGGAGAAGAAGCCCCGGCUAACUUCGUG